CAGCAGCCGCGGUAAUACGAAGGGGGCUAGCGUUGUUCGGAAUUACUGGGCGUAAAGCGCACGUAGGCGGAUAUUUAAGUCAGGGGUGAAAUCCCAGAGCUCAACUCUGGAACUGCCUUUGAUACUGGGUAUCUUGAGUAUGGAAGAGGUGAGUGGAAUUCCGAGUGUAGAGGUGAAAUUCGUAGAUAUUCGGAGGAACACCAGUGGCGAAGGCGGCUCACUGGUCCAUUACUGACGCUGAGGUGCGAAAGCGUGGGGAGCAAACAGGAUUAGAUACCCCGGUAGUCCCUGUCUCUUAUAC
This 301-nucleotide ribosomal RNA is filed under the name uncultured bacterium. RNAcentral's name for it is "partial 16S ribosomal RNA". It matches the Rfam family "Bacterial small subunit ribosomal RNA", at positions 509 to 807 of the family's 1533-position model. The record is from RNAcentral.